GACGAACGCUGGCGGCGUGCCUAACACAUGCAAGUCGAGCGGUAAGGCCCUUUCGGGGGUACACGAGCGGCGAACGGGUGAGUAACACGUGGGUGACCUGCCCUCAGCUCUGGGAUAAGCCUGGGAAACUGGGUCUAAUACCGGAUAUGACUCCAUGACGCAUGUUGUGGGGUGAAAGCCUUGUGCGGCUGAGGAUGGGCCCGCGGCCUAUCAGCUUGUUGGUGGGGUGANGGCCUACCAAGGCGACGACGGGUAGCCGGCCUGAGAGGGCGACCGGCCACACUGGGACUGAGACACGGCCCAGACUCCUACGGGAGGCAGCAGUGGGGAAUCUUGCGCAAUGGGCGAAAGCCUGACGCAGCGACGCCGCGUGAGGGAUGACGGCCUGG
Molecule: ribosomal RNA, 389 nt
Filed under: uncultured bacterium
Lineage: Bacteria
Description: bacterial SSU rRNA
Rfam family: Bacterial small subunit ribosomal RNA
Source: RNAcentral